Rhinopithecus bieti (black snub-nosed monkey) is the source of this 169-nucleotide unclassified non-coding RNA. The record is from Ensembl. NCBI's taxonomy places the organism in Eukaryota, Metazoa, Chordata, Mammalia, Primates, Cercopithecidae.
UGCUUGUGCAUUUAAAUGGGUGUGGUGCUAAGUAUAUCUUGUUUACCUUAUCUUUCUGUGGAAAAGUUUUGAUGUCUAGGUUUGUCACAUCAUGCCUGUUGCCUAGCACUACCAAAAGAGUUCUUCUUAUCUAGCAGCAGAGUGAAUUAGUUUUUAAUUUUAAUUUGAA